CCUCAAGGCGGGGGGAGCGGUUUGAUCCAUAAACUCCUCGACGAGACCGCUCUCAGGCAGGAGAUCUAGAAGCAGGGAUCUCAGCCACAAAUGCUGGCCAUUCAAGGCAGAGGGAUGAGCGAGGAAGCUGGAGCCAGAGGGACAAGCCAUGUGGUCACAGGGAGAACACGCCUCAGCUUUAAGGGUGAAUCAUUUUGCUAAGGGCAG
Molecule: long non-coding RNA, 207 nt
Organism: Hypanus sabinus (Atlantic stingray)
Lineage: Eukaryota; Metazoa; Chordata; Chondrichthyes; Myliobatiformes; Dasyatidae
Exons: 3
Source: RefSeq, a predicted model, not a curated record